RNAcentral lists this ribosomal RNA (1439 nucleotides) under uncultured organism. RNAcentral describes it as "SSU rRNA". It matches the Rfam family "Bacterial small subunit ribosomal RNA". The record is from RNAcentral.
CUUAACACAUGCAAGUCGAGGGGCAUCAGGAAGAAAGCUUGCUUUCUUUGCUGGCGACCGGCGCACGGGUGAGUAACACGUAUCCAACCUGCCCUUUACUCGGGGAUAGCCUUUCGAAAGAAAGAUUAAUACCCGAUAGCAUAAUGAUUCCGCAUGGUUUCAUUAUUAAAGGAUUCCGGUAAAGGAUGGGGAUGCGUUCCAUUAGGUUGUUGGUGAGGUAACGGCCCACCAAGCCUUCGAUGGAUAGGGGUUCUGAGAGGAAGGUCCCCCACAUUGGAACUGAGACACGGUCCAAACUCCUACGGGAGGCAGCAGUGAGGAAUAUUGGUCAAUGGGCGCUAGCCUGAACCAGCCAAGUAGCGUGAAGGAUGAAGGCUCUAUGGGUCGUAAACUUCUUUUAUAUAAGAAUAAAGUGCAGUAUGUAUACUGUUUUGUAUGUAUUAUAUGAAUAAGGAUCGGCUAACUCCGUGCCAGCAGCCGCGGUAAUACGGAGGAUCCGAGCGUUAUCCGGAUUUAUUGGGUUUAAAGGGAGCGUAGGUGGACUGGUAAGUCAGUUGUGAAAGUUUGCGGCUCAACCGUAAAAUUGCAGUUGAUACUGUCAGUCUUGAGUACAGUAGAGGUGGGCGGAAUUCGUGGUGUAGCGGUGAAAAUGCUUAGAUAUCACGAAGAACUCCGAUUGCGAAGGCAGCUCACUGGACUGCAACUGACACUGAUGCUCGAAAGUGUGGGUAUCAAACAGGAUUAGAUACCCUGGUAGUCCACACAGUAAACGAUGAAUACUCGCUGUUUGCGAUAUACAGUAAGCGGCCAAGCGAAAGCAUUAAGUAUUCCACCUGGGGAGUACGCCGGCAACGGUGAAACUCAAAGGAAUUGACGGGGGCCCGCACAAGCGGAGGAACAUGUGGUUUAAUUCGAUGAUACGCGAGGAACCUUACCCGGGCUUAAAUUGCAGUGGAAUGAUGUGGAAACAUGUCAGUGAGCAAUCACCGCUGUGAAGGUGCUGCAUGGUUGUCGUCAGCUCGUGCCGUGAGGUGUCGGCUUAAGUGCCAUAACGAGCGCAACCCUUAUCUUUAGUUACUAACAGGUUAUGCUGAGGACUCUAGAGAGACUGCCGUCGUAAGAUGUGAGGAAGGUGGGGAUGACGUCAAAUCAGCACGGCCCUUACGUCCGGGGCUACACACGUGUUACAAUGGGGGGUACAGAAGGCAGCUAGCGGGUGACCGUAUGCUAAUCCCAAAAUCCUCUCUCAGUUCGGAUCGAAGUCUGCAACCCGACUUCGUGAAGCUGGAUUCGCUAGUAAUCGCGCAUCAGCCACGGCGCGGUGAAUACGUUCCCGGGCCUUGUACACACCGCCCGUCAAGCCAUGGGAGCCGGGGGUACCUGAAGUACGUAACCGCAAGGAUCGUCCUAGGGUAAAACUGGUGACUGGGGCUAAGUCG